Molecule: ribosomal RNA, 743 nt
Filed under: uncultured Ascomycota
Lineage: Eukaryota; Fungi; Ascomycota
Description: LSU rRNA
Rfam family: Eukaryotic large subunit ribosomal RNA
Source: RNAcentral
CACUCUUCUGCUGUCAGGCCAGAAUCGGUUCGGGCGGUCGGAUAAAGGCUUCGAGAAUGUAGCUCCUCUCGAGGAGUGUUAUAGCCCGUUGCGAAAUGCGGCCAGCCUGAACUGAGGUCCGCGCUUCGGCUAGGAUGCUGGCGUAAUGGUUGUAAGCGGCCCGUCUUGAAACACGGACCAAGGAGUCUAACAUCUGUGCGAGUGUUUGGGUGUCAAACCCGUACGCGUAAUGAAAGUGAACGGAGGCGGGAACCCCUCGGGGUGCACCGUCGACCGAUCCUGAUGUCUUCGGAUGGAUUUGAGUAAGAGCAUAGCUGUUGGGACCCGAAAGAUGGUGAACUAUGCCUGAAUAGGGUGAAGCCAGAGGAAACUCUGGUGGAGGCUCGCAGCGGUUCUGACGUGCAAAUCGAUCGUCAAAUUUGGGCAUAGGGGCGAAAGACUAAUCGAACUAUCUAGUAGCUGGUUCCUGCCGAAGUUUCCCUCAGGAUAGCGGUAACGUUCUCAGUUUUAUGAGGUAAAGCGAAUGAUUAGAGGCCUGGGGGUUGAAACAACCUUCACCUAUUCUCAAACUUUAAAUAUGUAAGAAGUCCUUGUUACUUAGUUGAACGUGGACAUUUGAAUGUAUCGUUACUAGUGGGCCAUUUUUGGUAAGCAGAACUGGCGAUGCGGGAUGAACCGAACGCGGAGUUAAGGUGCCGGAAUGCACGCUCAUCAGACACCACAAAAGGUGUUAGUUCAUCUAG